GCCCUGGUCGUAUAGUGGCCCAGUAUGCCAGCCUGUCACGCUGGUGACGCGGGUUCGAAUCCCGCCCAGGGCG
Molecule: transfer RNA, 73 nt
Filed under: Nitrososphaerota archaeon
Lineage: Archaea; Thermoproteati; Nitrososphaerota
Also listed under: 1 other name
Description: tRNA-Asp
Rfam family: tRNA
About the family: Transfer RNA (tRNA) molecules are approximately 80 nucleotides in length. Their secondary structure includes four short double-helical elements and three loops (D, anti-codon, and T loops).
Source: RNAcentral